UUCACGUGCGCCGCACGUUUCCAACACGCUAUUAGUUACAUUCAGUGCACCCGAUCUUUUGAAGACCAUGGUGGACUGUCCAUUACCGGGUGAGGGUGAUGAUCUCUUUAAAUGACGUCUAGGAGCUCGCUCGGUGAUCUAGAGGUAGGGUUAAGCUUUCCGAUAUCGGCCAUGGAUUGGGUUGGGAUUGGAUUAGGGUUCUAUCGAAGGAUAUAGGUGAAGAAAUCAAGCGGCCAUGACUUCCCAUUCAGACGACGAGUUCGUCGUUCUUGAAUUGACGGAUCCUUCCUCGGUUGAAGGGAAGCUUAAGCAGGAGGUCAUAUCGAUUUCCGUAUCAGAAAUCGAAGCCUGGGAUCUUCCUUUGAUUGUUCAAUCAAGAACUGUCAGAGUUCAGGCCAACCGUAGCAGGCUCAUUCAUCAGUCUUCGUACUUUCACGGUCUUCUUGGUGGAAAUUUCAGUGAAUCAAGCCUCAACUAUGUCUCAAUCCAAUGGAACAUAGAAACAAGUAUUAAUGUCCUGCAGUUUACGCAUGGUUCUUCGCUAAGUAUAACAUCUAGCAAUUUUAUCCCCCUUUUGGAGGGUGCGCUGUUUUUUGGAGUUGAGAAGCUUUUGUUGGAAUGUGAAACUUGGUUUUCUAAGAUCACUUCCAAAAGAGUGCUCUCUUCACAACAGAUAUCAUUGGGCACCAUAAUUGAAAUCUGGAAUUUCGGCUUGGAGCAUGGAAUUGGCUUUGUUGCAGAACCAUGCAAAGGCUAUCUAGCACGCAACUUUGCAUGGGCUGUUUCAUGUAGCUUGUUUGCUGAUAUUCCAUAUAGCUUAUUACAUUCCUCCUUAGACGACCCUCAGCUGACUGUGGACAGUGAGAAGCAACUCUGUGAGGCUUUUCUGAUCUGGCUUUCUAACAAUGCAAAAUGUUCAGAAUGUUUACCAAUCAUCUCGAGAAAUAACAAAUUUGACAUUCUUAAGAAGGUCAGGAUCUGCCUUUUGCCUUUGGAGUUUGCUGCAGGGCUAAGGAGACACUUUUCCCAGUUUGCAGAUGGGAUUGUUAAUACAAUCCUUGACAUGAUAAAGGAUUGUUACUCAAGCCUAUUGCGUUCCAUUACAGACGAUAAGAUAGAUAAUUUCAGAAUACGUUUAACAGGAUAUUCUGAGAGAAUAAUACUUUCAGGCUGUGCCCAUAUAACGGAGGCCUUUUUGUUUCUGGCGGUGCUUCCAUCUAAUUUGGAUGCUGCAUUGAGGAAAACAGUCUUAUCUGCUUUUACUGGACUUGAUCGUCACACUGCAGAUCAUUAUCGAAACUUGAUGAAGUCAAUUAAGAUGUUAUCUUUUGAAGCUGUGCAUGAGAUCGAUAUAUCUAAGUGUUCAAGGGUCCAUUCUGCUGCCGCUGUUAUAUGGUUGCACUUGGCAUUGCCAUCAUUAAGAACAUUAAAAGCAUCUCAUUGUUUGCAAAUUAAAUUGGAAGAUUUGUAUUGCUUGAUACAAAAGUGUCCUCUGAUUGCUGAAGUUGAUUUGACUGUUGAUGUUAGUUCCGUGAUACCCACAAAAGUAUCAGUAUUGUCUGCCAGUGCUGAAAGAUAUCAACCUUCAGAUCGCACACCCUAUAAGAUGCUGGAAGAAAUACUGUUAUCAAAUAUUGAAAAGCUUACAUUGACAAAUUCAAUUCUGUCAAAUAUCUCAAAACUGACUUUGGAAGGUCGAAAUGAUCUCAAUGAUCUGGACCUGCUGAAGCUCUCUGCUCUCUCUGAUUCUUUAUCUUACUUAAACAUUAAAGGGUGCACUCUUGUAACAGAUGCAGGCAUAUCCAAGCUUCUAUGCAAAUGCUUCAAAAUCCUUUCACUGAUUUUAUCUUACACAUCGUUUGGGAGAAAUUCAAUUCUAACACUUUGUUCUGGUCAUAUAUAUGGCUUUCCUGAAAUUCAUCAUAAUCACAAAUAUUCAAACACAAUGGCAUUUAGGCUCCAACAACUUGAUAUAAGUGGCUGUACAGGUGUUGACCAAAUUUCUAUGUUACAACUUAUGAGCCAUACAUAUAUGUUGAAGCUUCUGAGUUUAAGGGAGACUUCCCUUAUCGAUGAUGUUCUUUACAACUUCAUGGGUUCCUCUCUGGAGAGCAUUGAUGUCUCUGAGACCAUGGUUUCUAUGCAAGCUUUAACUUCUGUUGUUAGGCAAAAUCCGGGUGUCAGGAUCUUGAAAGCGACUGGCUGUAGAAACUUGCAUCAGCCCAAUUGUGAUGGUUUGAUGCUCACUGGUGGUGCCAGCUUUGAAGAUCUUCUUCACGAGUUAAGUAAGAGUUGCAUCAUGGAAGAACUGGCUUUUGGAUGGGGAUUUUCCUGUUUAACAAUGAAAGAACUAGAACCCGCUAUGAGAAAAUUAAGAGGAAUAACUCUCGGUAUUGGUGCAUCACCGGGCCAUUAUGUGCUCUGUGCACUUCCAAAGAUGUGUCCACUGCUAGAGUCUGUCAUUCUUAUUUUUCAGGUGAUUUCUGACAGUAUAUUGAGAAGUAUCCUGGAAUCCUUAAAACAUCUGCAGGUGCUAGGAUUACGCUGCUGUCUUGGUGAACUGACUUCGUUUAGCUUUCGGACCAGCAUGCCAAUGUUAAGGUCACUGAGGCUAGAGUGGGUAACUCCAUGGAUGACAAAUAAUGAUUUGGCAAUCCUGACCGAGAACUGUUCAAACAUUGUUGAACUUUCUUUGUCAGGGUGCAAACUUCUUGAUUCAGGUUAUGUGUAAAAAUUCUAAGAGGUUAUCCAGACAUCCAUGCAUGUGUUGGCAAAGGACACCAACAUUUUCUCUGAGCUGCACAGUCUGACUGCUGUGCGGGUCCCAUUUGAUUCUUGGGUGGGACACACUGCAUUUAAUAGACUCACAAGAAAUCAUUUCUUCUGGAUGGCCAGGCUUGACAUAUAUUCAUUUGGAGGACUGUGGCAAAAUAACUUCGAAUGGAGUUUCUUUUCUCUUCAAUUGCAAAGCUGUUGAAGAUCUCUUAUUACGCCACAAUGGGCGAGGUAUUGGAAGGAACUUCAUAUGUGAUGCUGCUUUAGAGUUACAGUUGCCGGUGCUCCGGAAAGUGGCACUGGAUCUCUGCGAUGCUUGUGAAGGAGGUUUUGACAGCCCAAGUCAUGCUGAGAGAUAUUCCCUCAGCACUGUGAAAAUUAGUCGCUGCAAGUCCCAGAGAUGUGGAUUUGAGCUUCAGACAGUGGAGACAUUCAAGGCAGUGCAUAAGGAAACUAUUGUUUUAGAGUGGAAUAGCAAGGAACUGCGAACAACAAUGGUGAAAGAAAGAAUAUAGCGUGGGGACAAAUGCAAAUCAAGGUCUGGGCUCACAGACGACAGAUAUUGCCCAAAGCUAUACCUCAUCCUCAGUUUUGUAAGAAACAGUAAAGCGCAACUGCUCAGAUGAGAAUCAGGAGCUGUUGAGACACAUGAUGCUAUAUAAAGGUGUGUGUUAGAGAGAGAAUUUGGCUGUACUGGAAAUUAUAAGAACAUCUUUUGGGCUUUCACAAUCACUUAGGAAAAGAUCGAAAUUAAGGUGCCAUAUUUUUCAGAUUGCUACAGGACACUGGCAAUUACAAGGAUGAUAAUUCGGGUUGUACAACUAAAUAUAGGCUCAAUAAAAUAAACUGUUCAAUAUUCGUAUUA
This is an RNA transcript of Phoenix dactylifera (date palm), 3640 nucleotides long. It is a transcript of the gene named ubiquitin-protein ligase, with no coding region annotated. Lineage: Eukaryota; Viridiplantae; Streptophyta; Magnoliopsida; Arecales; Arecaceae. The record is from RefSeq and is a predicted model, not a curated record.